AGCUUUGCGCAGUGGCAGUAUUGUAGCCAAUGAGGUUUAUCCGAGGUGCGAUUAUUGCUAAUUGAAAACUAAUUUUGUUAGAAUUCACAUUUUCAAAGCAUUGAAAACACGCAUAGCAUAAUAUGACAAAUUUUCAAGCAGUCACUGAGCGUGACACGCAGCAGAAAAGGGACUCCAUGCUAGACU
Molecule: small nuclear RNA, 186 nt
Filed under: Zalophus californianus (California sea lion)
Lineage: Eukaryota; Metazoa; Chordata; Mammalia; Carnivora; Otariidae
Description: U4 spliceosomal RNA (ENSZCAG00015023468.1)
Rfam family: U4 spliceosomal RNA (bases 1-155)
About the family: U4 small nuclear RNA (U4 snRNA) is a component of the major U2-dependent spliceosome. The structure of U4 snRNA from yeast and human has been reported.
Source: RNAcentral